Molecule: ribosomal RNA, 378 nt
Filed under: uncultured bacterium
Lineage: Bacteria
Description: bacterial SSU rRNA
Rfam family: Bacterial small subunit ribosomal RNA
Source: RNAcentral
AAUGAACGUUGGCGGCGUGGAUUAGGCAUGCAAGUCGCGCGGAAAGGCCCCUUCGGGGGUGGCUCGAGCGGCGAAAGGGAGAGUAACCCGUGGAUUACCUACCCUCAGGCCCGGGACUAGCUGCGGGAAACCGCAAUUAAUACCGGAUAAUGUCCCUGGACCAAAGGUAGUGAUUCCUCCUGAGGAUGGGUCCGCGUCCUAUUAGCUAGUUGGUAGGGUAACGGCCUACCAAGGCGAUGAUGGGUACGUGGGGGUGAGAGCAUGACCCAGCUCACUGGGACUGAGACACUGCCCAGACACCUACGGGUGGCUGCAGUCGAGGAUCUUCGGCAAUGAGCGCAAGCUUGACCGAGCGACGCCGCGUGCGGGAUGAAGGCC